RNAcentral lists this ribosomal RNA (397 nucleotides) under uncultured bacterium. RNAcentral describes it as "partial 16S ribosomal RNA". It matches the Rfam family "Bacterial small subunit ribosomal RNA", at positions 338 to 732 of the family's 1533-position model. The record is from RNAcentral.
CCUACGGGUGGCAGCAGUGAGGAAUAUUGGUCAAUGGACGGAAGUCUGAACCAGCCAUGCCGCGUGAAGGAAGACGGCGCUAAGAGUUGUAAACUGCUUUUGUACAAGGAUAAACGUGAAAACGUGUAUUCAGCUGAGAGUACUGUAAGAAUAAGGAUCGGCUAACUCCGUGCCAGCAGCCGCGGUAAUGCGGAGGAUCCAAGCGUUAUCCGGAUUUAUUGGGUGUAAAGGGUGCGUAGGUGGAUCGAAAAGUUAGAGGUGAAAUGUCCGAGAGUAACCCGGGAACUGCCGUUGAUACUGUCGGUCUAGAGAGGAGGUGCGGUAGGCGGAAUGUGUGGUGUAGCGGUGAAAUGCUUAGAGAUCAUACAGAACACCGAUUGCGAAGGCAGCUUACCAA